AUAUCAAUAAGCGGAGGAAAAGAAACCAACAGGGAUUGCCUUAGUAACGGCGAGUGAAGCGGCAACAGCUCAAAUUUGAAAUCUGGCUCUUUUAGAGUCCGAGUUGUAAUUUGCAGAGGGCGCUUUGGCUUUGGCAGCGGUCCAAGUUCCUUGGAACAGGACGUCACAGAGGGUGAGAAUCCCGUACGUGGUCGCUAGACAUUGCCGUGUAAAGCCCCUUCGACGAGUCGAGUUGUUUGGGAAUGCAGCUCUAAAUGGGAGGUAAAUUUCUUCUAAAGCUAAAUACUGGCCAGAGACCGAUAGCGCACAAGUAGAGUGAUCGAAAGAUGAAAAGCACUUUGGAAAGAGAGUCAAACAGCACGUGAAAUUGUUGAAAGGGAAGCGCUUGCAGCCAGACUUGCCUGUAGUUGCUCAUCCGGGUUCUUACCCGGUGCACUCUUCUGCGGGCAGGCCAGCAUCAGUUUGGGCGGUUGGAUAAAGGUCUCUGGCACGUUCCUCUCUUCGGAGUGGCCAUAUAGGGGAGACGACAUACAACCAGCCUGGACUGAGGUCCGCGCAAUCUUGCUAGGAUGCUGGCGCAAUGGCUGUAAGCGGC
This 595-nucleotide ribosomal RNA is filed under the name Pleospora sp. ATCC MYA-3202. RNAcentral describes it as "eukaryotic LSU rRNA". It matches the Rfam family "Eukaryotic large subunit ribosomal RNA", at positions 40 to 648 of the family's 3401-position model. The record is from RNAcentral. Lineage: Eukaryota; Fungi; Ascomycota; Dothideomycetes; Pleosporales; Pleosporaceae. RNAcentral also lists the same sequence under 1 other name.